This 1346-nucleotide ribosomal RNA is filed under the name uncultured bacterium. RNAcentral describes it as "partial 16S ribosomal RNA". It matches the Rfam family "Bacterial small subunit ribosomal RNA", at positions 28 to 1381 of the family's 1533-position model. The record is from RNAcentral.
GACGAACGCUGGCGGCGUGCUUAACACAUGCAAGUCGAACGGAAAGGCCCUGCUUUUGUGGGGUGCUCGAGUGGCGAACGGGUGAGUAACACGUGAGUAACCUGCCCUUGACUUUGGGAUAACUUCAGGAAACUGGGGCUAAUACCGGAUAGGAGCUCCUGCUGCAUGGUGGGGGUUGGAAAGUUUCGGCGGUUGGGGAUGGACUCGCGGCUUAUCAGCUUGUUGGUGGGGUAGUGGCUUACCAAGGCUUUGACGGGUAGCCGGCCUGAGAGGGUGACCGGCCACAUUGGGACUGAGAUACGGCCCAGACUCCUACGGGAGGCAGCAGUGGGGAAUAUUGCACAAUGGGCGGAAGCCUGAUGCAGCAACGCCGCGUGCGGGAUGACGGCCUUCGGGUUGUAAACCGCUUUCGCCUGUGACGAAGCGUGAGUGACGGUAAUGGGUAAAGAAGCACCGGCUAACUACGUGCCAGCAGCCGCGGUGAUACGUAGGGUGCGAGCGUUGUCCGGAUUUAUUGGGCGUAAAGGGCUCGUAGGUGGUUGAUCGCGUCGGAAGUGUAAUCUUGGGGCUUAACCCUGAGCGUGCUUUCGAUACGGGUUGACUUGAGGAAGGUAGGGGAGAAUGGAAUUCCUGGUGGAGCGGUGGAAUGCGCAGAUAUCAGGAGGAACACCAGUGGCGAAGGCGGUUCUCUGGGCCUUUCCUGACGCUGAGGAGCGAAAGCGUGGGGAGCGAACAGGCUUAGAUACCCUGGUAGUCCACGCUGUAAACGGUGGGUACUAGGUGUGGGGUCCAUUCCACGGGUUCCGUGCCGUAGCUAGCGCUUUAAGUACCCCGCCUGGGGAGUACGGCCGCAAGGCUAAAACUCAAAGGAAUUGACGGGGCCCCGCACAAGCGGCGGAGCAUGCGGAUUAAUUCGAUGCAACGCGUAGAACCUUACCUGGGUUUGACAUGGAUCGGGAGUGCUCAGAGAUGGGUGUGCCUCUUUUGGGGUCGGUUCACAGGUGGUGCAUGCCUGUCGUCAGCUCGUGUCGUGAGAUGCUGGGUUAAGUCCCGCAACGAGCGCAACCCUUGUUCACUGUUGCCAGCACGUUAUGGUGGGGACUCAGUGGAGACCGCCGGGGUCAACUCGGAGGAAGGUGGGGAUGACGUCAAGUCAUCAUGCCCCUUAUGUCCAGGGCUUCACGCAUGCUACAAUGGCUGGUACAGAGAGUGGCGAGCCUGUGAGGGUGAGCGAAUCUCGGAAAGCCGGUCUCAGUUCGGAUUGGGGUCUGCAACUCGACCUCAUGAAGUCGGAGUCGCUAGUAAUCGCAGAUCAGCAACGCUGCGGUGAAUACGUUCCCGGGGCU